CCUCACUUCUUUUCUAUGUUUUCCUUGUAUCUUUUUUCCUUGUAUGUAAAUUAUUGACACAAAUAUUCAGUACAUGUUUUCCUUCAUCAGGAAGUCAGGAGAACAUCCUGUAUUAGGAAGAAGAGUCUUGUGAAUGAAUUAAUUGAAUUUCAAGGAAUUUCGUCAACUGGAUAUUUAGAGGAUAUUUUGAGUCUGGCAGAUUUUGACAACAUAUGACAGGCCGUCCUUGCUCCAGCGAGUGGCUCCAUACUUGUGUGUAUAUAUGGGCAGCACAAAUGACCUCAGUGGAACACUCAAUCAUCAAGGACAACAUGAGAGGAAUCAAGGAUAGUUCUGAGAGGAGG
Long non-coding RNA from Mastomys coucha (southern multimammate mouse), 344 nucleotides. RefSeq lists it as uncharacterized. The transcript has 3 exons. Lineage: Eukaryota; Metazoa; Chordata; Mammalia; Rodentia; Muridae. The record is from RefSeq and is a predicted model, not a curated record.